This 272-nucleotide long non-coding RNA is filed under the name Carica papaya (papaya). RNAcentral describes it as "long non-coding RNA (CPAP_LNC003312)". Lineage: Eukaryota; Viridiplantae; Streptophyta; Magnoliopsida; Brassicales; Caricaceae. The record is from RNAcentral.
CUCUCCCAACUGAGAGAAAAUUUUCCAAGAACGAGAGACAUUUUCCCAUUGGGACUCAAUGUCCCAAUUGGGAGACAAAUUCCCAUCCAAGGGGAAGCCCAGGGAAUCUCACCCAUGCUACCACAAAGGCCACCGUAUCGUUGUUGAUGGAGAAAGUCGAUGUCCAUGGUUCAACUGUUAGGUAGUGUUCAUAGAUAAUUCAUGGAUCCACGGUGAGUGUAUGCAUGAAAUCAUUAGGGUCAGUGAAUUUUGCUUAGUCAUUGUUCAUAUCA